This 790-nucleotide unclassified non-coding RNA is filed under the name Hevea brasiliensis (rubber tree). Lineage: Eukaryota; Viridiplantae; Streptophyta; Magnoliopsida; Malpighiales; Euphorbiaceae. The record is from RNAcentral.
AAAAAAUAGAAUUUAUGUUUUCCUAUUUGUUAACCCAAUUUUCCUUCCAAGUUUCAGGUAUUUUAGGAUUUUCAUUGAUCACGAUCCAUAUGAAUCCUCCACUUCCGUCGUGUCACCCACCGGCACAGGCAGAGGAACUGCUGUUUCCAGUAGCAGAGGAAACGGAUACCCCGGCGCCAAAGAAGCAUAAAAUAGGAGAUCAUGAGGACACUGCCAAUAUCUCCGAUGAGGAGGAUGGUUAUACCAAUCCGCUAUUUAGGACUUGUGCUGACUACGAUUCGGAAGAAGAAAAUUAUUGCCCAGAUAUCCCCGGUGCCAAAAUGGAUAAACCUCUCUGGGAGAAAUACUGGAAACAGAUCGAGGAGAGCGAGGGAUUUGAUAUCACAGAUUGUCCUGGAGGGUGUUGGAUGACUACUAUUGUUCCCAUGCAACACAUCUUGAACUCUACUGAGAAUGUUGACCGGUUGAAGGGUCAUGCUGGAAAGGCACUUGAGCAUUACAACAAUAUUAAUGGAACUAGUUAUGAGGUCGACGACAUUUUGAAGGUGAAUGGACAAGCUGCUGGUCGUUUUUUUGCUUACUAUCUUACCUUUUCUACCAAAAAAGGUGAGACACAUACUUUUCAAGCAAAGGUGCUGGAAGAUUUAGAUGAUUCCACAGAGGUUCUUAUCGUCAGGCCUAAGGUUGCUACCAUGGGGUAAAGGAGGUUAUUGUUACACAUUUGUUGGUGUGUUUUCAGCAUUUUCAGAUUCUAUCUUUAGUCUUAGUGGAAUGUGUUAUAUGAGUUUUG